UCGAGAAUCUUUAGCAAUGGACGAAAGUCUGACUAUGCGACGCCGCGUGAGGGAUGAAGGUCUUCGGAUUGUAAACCUCUUUCGAUUGGGAAGAAAAUACUUGACGUGAAUAACGUCAAGUGCUGACGUUACCAAGAGAAGAAGCCACGGCCAACUCCGUGCCAGCAGCCGCGGUAAUACGGAGGUGGCAAGCGUUACUCGGAUUUAUUGGGUGUAAAGGGCAGGUAGGUGUCCUGAAAAGUGGGAGGUGAAAUCCUUCGAUUCAAUUGAAGAAUUGCCUUCCAAACUAUCAGGAUUGAGUGUGAGAGAGGAAAGCGGAACUCUCGGUGUAAGGGUGAAAUCUGUAGAGAUCGAGAGGAACACCAAUAGCGAAGGCAGCUUUCUGGAUCACAACUGACGC
This 400-nucleotide ribosomal RNA is filed under the name uncultured bacterium. Its description in RNAcentral is "bacterial SSU rRNA". It matches the Rfam family "Bacterial small subunit ribosomal RNA", at positions 355 to 746 of the family's 1533-position model. The record is from RNAcentral.